RNAcentral lists this long non-coding RNA (763 nucleotides) under Oryza brachyantha (malo sina). RNAcentral's name for it is "long non-coding RNA (OBRA_LNC002240)". Lineage: Eukaryota; Viridiplantae; Streptophyta; Magnoliopsida; Poales; Poaceae. The record is from RNAcentral.
UAAAAUGUUAAUAAAAUAUAUAUAGCGAAUGUAAUAUCUAUGUUAUGUUCUGUUAGGGUGAUAACUAAUAUAAAGAGAUAAUCUAUUUUUAAAAAUUAUCAAAAUAACAAUAUGGAUGAUUAAAUUUAGAGAAGCUACUCAGAAUGCUCUAACACUACCAGAGUUUUUUUUUCUUUUUAUAGGAUAGUUAGUCGUGCUAAAAAUACAUGCCCUCGCCUUUUCGCUUCUGCUUGCACUUGUAACCGAAAAUCUAAAAUUUUAACUUUAAAUUUUAAGUUGAAUUUGGAUUUUUUUAUCCUAAAUUAUUUUCCAGCCUAUGGUUUACUUAGAAAUUACUUUUACACUGACAAAUAACUGAGACACAAAAACAGACAUAACAUCCAAAGUAGAGCAUUUAUGGCCGAAUCUAUUACAACGACAGCCCACGGAACAUUAUUUUCAACAAACCGUGCGGAUUCCCAAUAUGUUUAGGCCAUUUACAGUGCGCAUGCAUGACGUUCGGCCUCAAGCUGCCACAGCGGAGAGAGGAAGCUAGCUGGCACUUUUUGCCUGGCUUGCAGAGCCGCGCGCGCCCUCGUGAGGUAGCGACGCCUCUGCCUCGAGCUCGGCGAGAAAGCGCCCAGAGACAUGCACUACAAGAGGUCGUCGCCCCGGCGUGGUUCCUCGACGUGGACGGGACAAAAUCAGAUGAAGGGGCGCCGGUGUGGUCGUCGUUGAGAUGGCCAUCGUCCGUCGCGGCCUUGACCCCCACCGCGUCGCCCCG